UGAGUUUUGACCUGGCUCAGAACGAACGCUGGCGGCAGGCCUAACACAUGCAAGUCGAGCGAACCCUUCGGGGUUAGCGGCGGACGGGUGAGUAACGCGUGGGAACGUGCCCUUCUCUGCGGAAUAGGCUCGGGAAACUGGGUUUAAUACCGCAUACGCCCUUCGGGGGAAAGAUUUAUCGGAGAAGGAUCGGCCCGCGUCUGAUUAGGUAGUUGGUGGGGUAAUGGCCUACCAAGCCUACGAUCAGUAGCUGGUUUGAGAGGAUGAUCAGCCACACUGGGACUGAGACACGGCCCAGACUCCUACGGGAGGCAGCAGUGAGGAAUCUUGGACAAUGGGGGAAACCCUGAUCCAGCCAUGCCGCGUGAGCGAUGAAGGCCUUAGGGUUGUAAAGCUCUUUCAGUCGUGAAGAUAAUGACGGUAGCGACAGAAGAAGCCCCGGCUAAUACC
This 450-nucleotide ribosomal RNA is filed under the name Rhodovulum sulfidophilum. RNAcentral's name for it is "bacterial SSU rRNA". It matches the Rfam family "Bacterial small subunit ribosomal RNA", at positions 1 to 504 of the family's 1533-position model. The record is from RNAcentral. Lineage: Bacteria; Pseudomonadati; Pseudomonadota; Alphaproteobacteria; Rhodobacterales; Paracoccaceae.